RNAcentral lists this ribosomal RNA (780 nucleotides) under uncultured Neocallimastigales. RNAcentral describes it as "partial large subunit ribosomal RNA". It matches the Rfam family "Eukaryotic large subunit ribosomal RNA", at positions 23 to 644 of the family's 3401-position model. The record is from RNAcentral. Lineage: Eukaryota; Fungi; Neocallimastigomycota; Neocallimastigomycetes; Neocallimastigales.
AUAGAGACUCAGAGCUGCAUAUCAAUAAGCGGAGGAAAAGAAACUAACAAGGAUUCCCUUAGUAACGGCGAGUGAAGCGGGAAGAGCUCAAAUUUGAAAUCUUCAAGGUUCUACCUUGACGAAUUGUAGUUUAUAGAAGUGUUUUCUGUUAGUAGAGUGGCAAAAGUUCUUUGGAAUAGGACAUCAUAGAGGGUGAGAAUCCCGUAUUUGGUCAUUCUUUCUAGCUUUGUGAUACACUUUCAACGAGUCGGAUUGUUUGGGAAUGCAGUCCAAAAUGGGUGGUAAAUUUCAUCUAAAGCUAAAUAUUGGCGAGAGACCGAUAGCGAACAAGUACCGUGAGGGAAAGAUGAAAAGAACUUUGAAAAGAGAGUUAAACAGUACGUGAAAUUGUCAAAAGGGAAGCGUUUGACACCAGUGUUGUUUUCUCGAAAAUCAAUUAAAAAUGACCGGAUUUUGUGUUGUAUUGACUUUAUCAGCUUUCUGCACUUUUUUCUUGAUCUUUUUUAAUGCACUUUUCGUUUAACAAGUCAACAUCAAUUUCUUUUGUUGUAAAAGAGGUCAUUGGAAGGUGGCUUUUCUUUCGGAGAAAGUGUUUAUAGCCUUUGGCCUUCUGCAAUCGGAGAGAUUGAGGUCUGCAGCGUAGAUCCUUCGGGGUUAGAUAGCAUUUGUGCUAAGUUAUAGCCUUUCAUAGACAACUUGUUGAUUAUGAUUAAGUCAUUGUAGCUUACUCGCUUAUGCUAUUUUACCUACGCUUAGGAUGUUGAAGAUAUGCGCGACACG